GAUGAACGCUGGCGGCGUGCUUAACACAUGCAAGUCGAACGGAAAGGCCCAAGCUUGCUUGGGUACUCGAGUGGCGAACGGGUGAGUAACACGUGGGUGAUCUGCCCUGCACUUCGGGAUAAGCCUGGGAAACUGGGUCUAAUACCGGAUAGGACCACUUCGUAGUUGUUGUGGUGGAAAGUUUUUUCGGUGUGGGAUGAGCUCGCGGCCUAUCAGCUUGUUGGUGGGGUAAUGGCCUACCAAGGCGUCGACGGGUAGCCGGCCUGAGAGGGUGUACGGCCAAAUUGGGACUGAGAUACGGCCCGGACUCCUACGGGAGGCAGCAGUGGGGAAUAUUGCAAAAGGGGGGGAAGCCUGAUGCAGCGACGCCGCGUGGGGGAUGACGGCCUUCGGGUUGUAAACCCCUUUCGCCAAAGACGAAUUUAGGACGGUAUUUGGAAAAGAAGCACCGGCUAACUACGG
Molecule: ribosomal RNA, 462 nt
Filed under: uncultured bacterium
Lineage: Bacteria
Description: partial 16S ribosomal RNA
Rfam family: Bacterial small subunit ribosomal RNA
Source: RNAcentral